Non-coding RNA from Cordylochernes scorpioides, 73 nucleotides. The record is from the annotation of a GenBank genome assembly. NCBI's taxonomy places the organism in Eukaryota, Metazoa, Arthropoda, Arachnida, Pseudoscorpiones, Chernetidae.
UUCCCAUGCCGGGAAUCGAACCCGGGCCUUCUGGGGGAAAGCCAGAUAUCCUAGCCAACUAGACCACGUGGAA